This 253-nucleotide ribosomal RNA is filed under the name uncultured bacterium. Its description in RNAcentral is "partial 16S ribosomal RNA". It matches the Rfam family "Bacterial small subunit ribosomal RNA", at positions 524 to 776 of the family's 1533-position model. The record is from RNAcentral.
GACGUAGGGUGCGAGCGUUGUCCGGAUUUAUUGGGCGUAAAGAGCUCGUAGGCGGCUUGUUGCGUCGACUGUGAAAACCCGCGGCUUAACUGCGGGCUUGCAGUUGAUACGGGCAGGCUAGAGUUCGGUAGGGGAGACUGGAAUUCCUGGUGUAGCGGUGAAAUGCGCAGAUAUCAGGAGGAACACCGGUGGCGAAGGCGGCAUCCUGGACCAACACUGACACUGAGGAGCGAAAGCCAGGGGAGCAAACGGG